AUGAACGCUGGCGGCGUGCCUAAUCCCUGCAAGUCGAGCGAACAGAUGAGGAGCUUGCUCCUCUGACGUUAGCGGCGGACGGGUGAGUAACACGUGGAUAACCUACCUAUAAGACUGGGAUAACUUCGGGAAACCGGAGCUAAUACCGGAUAAUAUAUUGAACCGCAUGGUUCAAUAGUGAAAGACGGUUUUGCUGUCACUUAUAGAUGGAUCCGCGCCGCAUUAGCUAGUUGGUAAGGUAACGGCUUACCAAGGCAACGAUGCGUAGCCGACCUGAGAGGGUGAUCGGCCACACUGGAACUGAGACACGGUCCAGACUCCUACGGGAGGCAGCAGUAGGGAAUCUUCCGCAAAGGGCGAAAGCCUGACGGAGCAACGCCGCGUGAGUGAUGAAGGUCUUCGGAUCGUAAAACUCUGUUAUUAGGGAAGAACAAAUGUGUAAGUAACUAUGCACGUCUUGACGGUACCUAAUCAGAAAGCCACGGCUAACUACGUG
This 496-nucleotide ribosomal RNA is filed under the name uncultured bacterium. RNAcentral's name for it is "partial 16S ribosomal RNA". It matches the Rfam family "Bacterial small subunit ribosomal RNA", at positions 29 to 507 of the family's 1533-position model. The record is from RNAcentral.